GGGCGGUUAGCUCAGCGGUAGAGCACUACGUUGACAUCGUAGGGGUCACUGGUUCGAACCCAGUACCGCCCACCA
This 75-nucleotide transfer RNA is filed under the name Roseivivax jejudonensis. RNAcentral describes it as "tRNA-Val". It matches the Rfam family "tRNA". Rfam says of the family: Transfer RNA (tRNA) molecules are approximately 80 nucleotides in length. Their secondary structure includes four short double-helical elements and three loops (D, anti-codon, and T loops). Lineage: Bacteria; Pseudomonadati; Pseudomonadota; Alphaproteobacteria; Rhodobacterales; Roseobacteraceae. RNAcentral also lists the same sequence under 8 other names. The record is from RNAcentral.